CUAACCUACGGGGGGCAGCAGUGGGGGAUAUUGCACAAUGGGGGGAACCCUGAUGCAGCGACGCCGCGUGGGUGAAGAAGCGCUUCGGCGUGUAAAGCCCUGUCAGCAGGGAAGAAAAUGACGGUACCUGAAGAAGAAGCCCCGGCUAACUACGUGCCAGCAGCCGCGGUAAUACGUAGGGGGCAAGCGUAAUCCGGAUUUACUGGGUGUAAAGGGGACGCAAGCGGCGAAGCAAGCCAG
Molecule: ribosomal RNA, 240 nt
Filed under: uncultured bacterium
Lineage: Bacteria
Description: partial 16S ribosomal RNA
Rfam family: Bacterial small subunit ribosomal RNA
Source: RNAcentral